UACGGAGGGUGCAAUCGUUGCUCGGAAUCAUUGGGCGUAAAGCGCACGUAGGCGGCGCGUUAAGUCGGGUGUGAAAGCCCUGGGCUCAACCCAGGAAGUGCAUUCGAAACUGGCGCGCUUGAAUAUGGAAGAGGGUCGCGGAAUUCCCGGUGUAGAGGUGAAAUUCGUAGAUAUCGGGAGGAACACCAGUGGCGAAGGCGGCGACCUGGGCCAAUAUUGACGCUGAGGUGCGAAAGCGUGGGGAGCAAACAGG
This 253-nucleotide ribosomal RNA is filed under the name uncultured bacterium. RNAcentral's name for it is "partial 16S ribosomal RNA". It matches the Rfam family "Bacterial small subunit ribosomal RNA", at positions 524 to 776 of the family's 1533-position model. The record is from RNAcentral.